This 69-nucleotide transfer RNA is filed under the name Salganea raggei. Its description in RNAcentral is "tRNA-Val". The record is from RNAcentral. Lineage: Eukaryota; Metazoa; Arthropoda; Insecta; Blattodea; Blaberidae.
CAAGUUAUACUUGAAGAUAAGAUUUUCAUUUACAUUGAAAUAAAUACUGUGCAAUUCAGUAUAACUUGA